GAUGAAGAACGUAGCGAAAUGCGAUAAGUAAUGUGAAUUGCAGAAUUCAGUGAAUCAUCGAAUCUUUGAACGCACAUUGCGCCCGCCAGUAUUCUGGCGGGCAUGCCUGUCCGAGCGUCAUUUCAACCCUCGAACCCCUCCGGGGGGUCGGCGUUGGGGAUCGGCCCUGCCUCUUGGCGGUGGCCGUCUCCGAAAUACAGUGGCGGUCUCGCCGCAGCCUCUCCUGCGCAGUAGUUUGCACACUCGCAUCGGGAGCCCGGCGCGGUCCACUGCCGUAAAACCCCCCAACUUUUUAUAGUUGACCUCGAAUCAGGUAGGACUACCCGCUGAACUUAAGCAUAUCAAUAAGCGGAGGA
This 356-nucleotide unclassified non-coding RNA is filed under the name soil metagenome. Its description in RNAcentral is "partial contains 5.8S ribosomal RNA, internal transcribed spacer 2, and large subunit ribosomal RNA". The stretch from base 1 to 120 matches the Rfam family "5.8S ribosomal RNA", at positions 35 to 154 of the family's 154-position model. The record is from RNAcentral.